UUUAAAGUGGCAGAAUAGUGCGUCAGAUUUAAGCUCUGGAUAAGGAGAAAUAAUUAGUUCUUCCUUUAGCG
Molecule: transfer RNA, 71 nt
Filed under: Dendropoma nebulosum
Lineage: Eukaryota; Metazoa; Mollusca; Gastropoda; Littorinimorpha; Vermetidae
Description: tRNA-Leu
Source: RNAcentral